RNAcentral lists this ribosomal RNA (377 nucleotides) under uncultured eukaryote. RNAcentral's name for it is "partial 18S ribosomal RNA". It matches the Rfam family "Eukaryotic small subunit ribosomal RNA", at positions 592 to 976 of the family's 1831-position model. The record is from RNAcentral.
CAAUAGCGUAUAUUUAAGUUGUUGCAGUUAAAAAGCUCGUAGUUGGAUUUCGGUUGAGAGCGGCCGGUCCGCCGUUUGGUGUGCACUGGCUGGUUUCAACUUCCUGUAGAGGACGCGCUUUGGGCUUAACGGUCUGAACGUGGAGUCUACGUGGUUACUUUGAAAAAAUUAGAGUGUUCAAAGCAGGCUUAUGCCGUUGAAUAUAUUAGCAUGGAAUAAUAAGAUAGGACUUUGGUACUAUUUUGUUGGUUUGCGCACCAAAGUAAUGAUUAAUAGGGACAGUUGGGGGUAUUCGUAUUCCGUUGUCAGAGGUGAAAUUCUUGGAUUUACGGAAGACGAACUACUGCGAAAGCAUUUACCAAGGAUGUUUUCAUUAA